UAUGUGUGUCCAUGUUACAUGUGUUUCUCUACAUGUAACCUAGUCACACGUAUU
Molecule: microRNA precursor, 54 nt
Filed under: Monodelphis domestica (gray short-tailed opossum)
Lineage: Eukaryota; Metazoa; Chordata; Mammalia; Didelphimorphia; Didelphidae
Description: microRNA mdo-mir-7394a precursor
Source: miRBase by way of RNAcentral